Molecule: non-coding RNA, 889 nt
Organism: Microcebus murinus (gray mouse lemur)
Lineage: Eukaryota; Metazoa; Chordata; Mammalia; Primates; Cheirogaleidae
Source: RefSeq, a predicted model, not a curated record
AUACUGAUUAUGAAACACACUGAGAAAGAGAAAUAGAAGCAAAAUCAGAAGAAAAGGCAGAGGAAGUAAAGGGAGAGGGUGACAGUUCAUACUUGAGCAACCCAGAGAAAUUACGGAUGUGCAGAGGAAGUUCCUGAGAAGAAAGCAAAAAAAGUGUAUCAGUAAGAAUAGCUGUUCCAGAGCUCUUCAGGGAUAUUGAUGGUCCCCUCAUGAAUGCAUUUCUCAGACCCUCAGAGAAGAGAAUGACCAGUAGGACUUCCAAGAAGACUUAUCAAGUGGGUGAGCAGGAAUGUCCUCUGCACAUCAGUAAUUUCACUGGAAAGAAUUAGAGAGAUAGAAGAAGAUAUCCGUCUUUAAAAGAAAAUUGUCACGACUCCUCUGACCCAACGUUACAAAUAUAUGAAUAUCUGAUUUCAGAAUAUCUCACCACAGGCAAAAUAUCCCAUUUUUUAAAUUUCACAUUUUGUCCAGAGUAUAGAAAUAUGUAUGGCAAUGGGAAAGACAAAAGCCCUAUCAAAGGUUGGUGGUGACGUGGGUAAAGAAAGUUGCAGACACUUCAGUAAGAGUUGGGAUAGGUGAAAGGCAGCCCCUUCUUUUGCCACAUGAGACAUGUUUGGUUGUGAGAUGGGGAGAUGGGAAAGAAAAACCCAACAGAAGCCUUGGCCACAGGCCUAUUGUCAGGCAGACUGAUUUCACCAAAAAGUAGAAGUUGAAAACAUGAAAAUAGAUUUUCUUAAAUCUUUUAUUGCCUAAAAAGUUCUUGGAAAGCCAUCAUGAACCCUUAAAGGCAUAUGUACCCAGGUUAGUAGAUGUAGAUGCUCAAAAAAAAUUAAAAGUAGCAAUAAGUUUUAGUGAAUUGAUGCUGUGAAAAAAUAAAAUGACUUUAUGU